This is a non-coding RNA of Ictidomys tridecemlineatus (thirteen-lined ground squirrel), 2091 nucleotides long. The record is from RefSeq and is a predicted model, not a curated record. Lineage: Eukaryota; Metazoa; Chordata; Mammalia; Rodentia; Sciuridae.
UUCAACACUUACGAAGAGUAUGUUAUUGCCCUCCUGGACGUGCCCACUCAGGGCCACAGUCCCAUUCUCUUUGCUGCGGCUGAUGUAGAUGUCCCUAUCAUUGGAGACAAAUGUGAAGCAGGAACUCUACCUCUGAGUCACAUCCCCAGGUCCCUGGGCAGGGAUUUCUGUUAAUUCUGUUCCCAGAUGAACCCUAGCUCUGCAAGCUGCCCUGGCUCAGAGAAGACCAUCCACAGGGUUUGUCGCUGGAAGGGUCGUGUGUCCUUUCCCACUGGACUGAGACCCUGUUGGGUCCUAGUUUCCCCCAUCUGGUAGUGGCCUGAGUGUGCUCACGCCAGGUCGCUGUGUGGCAGCAGCUGCAUCAGUCUGAGGCACAAUUAUUGCCGAACAGUUCUGUCAUCUGAGUCUCAAGGCUGCCCGGUUUCGUUUCAAACCCCACACACUGACUUUCCAGAAAUUUUAAUUUAGUCAGCAUUUUGGCCCUAGUUUGGAGCCUCAAGUCAUUCCUUGAAGUGGUAAGUUGAAAACAAACCGCGUCACCUUAGGAAACACUCAGAAGAGCAGUGUGAUUAAUGUGGUUGGGUGACUAUGAGAUGCUUUGAACUCUGUGUGUGAACUUGUUUCCCUCGUCCCUUUUCUCGUUUUCAACCUUUUUUUGUGUGUGUUUCAAAAGUAAGCAGAAGAUUUCUACCUCCCUCAGUGCUCAGAUGACUUGCCCCCAAAGGAUCUCACUGUUAAAUAAUAGUGAGACAAUUCCCAUGCCUGUUACAAGAGGGGAGGCUCAACACACAUCCCCAUGAAGUUCCCAUUGGCCUUAUGGAAUUGGAGAAUAAGAGAAGCUAGAAACGUCAUGGGGUGUGACUCCCUUUCCCCUGACCCUGCAGGUGAGAAGGCUUCCCCAGACUUCACCCCUCCAGAGACUGGCAGCUGGGCUCCACAGCGAAUAGUGCUCUGAGGCCAAGGUGCAAGAAAAGAAAACCCAAUUAGAAGAUGGGCAAAGAAGCUAAAUACAGUUUGUCCAGAGAAGAUAUCCAAAUGGCUGAUAAGCACAUGAAAAGGAGCUCCAUAUCAUUAGCUUCAGUUCUCGGCGGACACAACAUCUUUGUUGGUAUGUGGUGCUGAGGAUCGAACCCGGGCUGCACGCAUGCCAGGCGAGCGCGCUACUGCUUGAGCCACAUCCCCAGCCCAAUUAUGUGUAAUUUUCAAAAGAGUAAAUAAUAGAAAUCCCAAUGGACUGACAAAUUGAAAAAUAAAUGUAUAUCCAUAUGGAAUCCCACUAAACAUCAGUAAAAGGAAAUCAUGGAUGAAUCUUGGAAACCUUUUGGGAAUUCAAGCCAUUCAGAAAGAUACCACCUUUUGUAUAAUACCAUUUUUUGUGUAAAGUUUAAAAUAUGCAAAUUUAUUUAAUAUUGGGGGGAUAAAACCUAGGGUGCCUAAAAACUGAGUCACAUCCGUAGUCUGUUUUGUUUUGAUGCUUUUUAAGGUAAAAAAAAUCAUAGAUGGGUACAAUAACUUUCUUUUAUUUUCAUGUGGUGAUGAGACUCAAACCAAGUGCCUCACAUGUGCUAGGCAAGCACUCUACUACUGAGCUACAACCACAUCCUCACCUUUUAUUUUGAGAGAACGACUCAUUUGCUGUGGGACUUGGUAAGUUGCUGAGGCUGCCUUUGAACUUUUGAUCAUCCUGCCUCAGCCUCCCGUGUUGCUACGAUUAUAAGUAUGUGUCACCAUGUCCAAUUUCCAGAAGAGGAAAAUUUAUAUAGACAGAAAUUAGAUUGGUUAUUCUCUACAGAUGGGGAUUGGGGAAAAAAAGGAGGAAAUAAGAAAGGUCUGCUAAUUUUUACGGGAUUUUUCUGGGGACGAUUAGAGUGUUCUUUAGUUGUGGUGAUGGUUUUAAAAUUUUGUGAAUACACUAAAUAUCACUGAAUUGUUAAUGUUAAAUGGUCAGUUGUAGGCUGUGUGAAUUGUAUUCCAAUAAAGCUGUUACAAAAAGUGAUGUAAGUGAAUGAUUCUUAUGAUUAUCUGGAAAUGACUGAGUUGUGAAAAUGCUGUCAUGUCAUGCUGUUAGAUAAUAAAGGAAAUUGAGCCAAA